AUAUAUAAACCCAUGUUUUGUCACACAAAUCUCAAUAUACAAACAUAACUUCUUCAUUGUUAUACUAUUUCCAAAAAAUCAUUGUCAAUCGUGAUGAUGAAUACUAAAACAUCAAUUAUUUUCUUUAUGGUGAUUCUCUUAGUGAGCACGUCAUCGUGAAGGCAAUACAACUCCCAUCAACUAUGAUGAAUCACUAUAUUUGUCUAUACAAUCAUAAUGAUCCAAGUUGUAAUAUGAAAGUCGUGAUUCCUAGAGAAGCUGCUAAUCCUUAUUCUCGUGGUUGUGAACCUAUUCUUCGUUGUCGAGGUGGGCCGCCAACCAUGAUUGGAAUCUAAAGAGUGAAAGCAAAUUUCUUUUGAUUUACAUUGUACUAUUGGCAUCGAAUAAUUAUUUAUCAUAUG
RNAcentral lists this long non-coding RNA (401 nucleotides) under Linum usitatissimum (flax). Its description in RNAcentral is "long non-coding RNA (LUSI_LNC005686)". Lineage: Eukaryota; Viridiplantae; Streptophyta; Magnoliopsida; Malpighiales; Linaceae. The record is from RNAcentral.